UCGUGUCUAUAGAAAAAAAAAAAAAAAAAAAACGUUAAUUAAAACCUUACAAGGAAAAAAAAAAAAAAUGUUUGCAUUAAGCAUAAAUUAACAAUUGGCAUUAUUAAUAUGGUAUAAAUAAAAUAGUUAACUUGACAAGCUAAUUUGAAUGAAGAUAUAUAAAAGAAAAAAAAAGUAUCGAUUAUGAUAAUUUUAUUGGUAGUUAAGCGCUUACCGGCUUAACCUCAACUAUAUAGUUAUCCUUUGCUCGAACAGUAAGCUUGCGCAAGUAAUAGUAUAUUUAUGAAUCUUACCCGCAUCAAGAAUCCGUUGCUUCACUGAAUGCUGCCGACCGUGCCAAAAUUGCCAAGCUUUUAUUUCGUCUUCUGGGCUUUUUUCUUCACGGAACAUUAACAUUACAACACUCUGUAUACGAUGAAUCACAUGGAUGGAAGAGCUCCAAACCCAUGGAAUGGAAUGGAACGGAAUGGAAGAAUUUGCCAGGUUCUCAACUGAACCGUCCAUUGAUAUCAAGACACCAAUAAAUUUUAUUCUUGCUGAUGUCAGCCGCCUACUGGACCAAAGUCUCUAUCCCACUCCGAGGGGAUCCAAUGUAAUAUUAAAGAGAGAUAAACUUUUCUGUCUCACCUGUGCUCUCCCACUACUACUACCUGCUUCCACUACUCAAGUGGUUCUUUGUCAGUGUGUGGAUACUUGUUGGGCAGAAACUUUACCUGCAUGUGUUGAAUCUGAGAUACCCAAGCCAGCCUCCCACCAUUCAGAGCAUGGCUUGACGACGGUCAGCUACACCGAUACUCAAAUUAAGCCGAUCCAAAAGUGCUUCCCAGCUUUAAUCAAGUUGGCAGCUUUCUGAUGUUGGACGGAUG
This is an RNA transcript of Cotesia glomerata, 866 nucleotides long. RefSeq lists it as uncharacterized. The transcript is spliced from 5 exons. Lineage: Eukaryota; Metazoa; Arthropoda; Insecta; Hymenoptera; Braconidae. The record is from RefSeq and is a predicted model, not a curated record.